CCUACGGGAGGCAGCAGUGGGGAAUUUUGGACAAUGGGCGCAAGCCUGAUCCAGCAAUGCCGCGUGAGUGAAGAAGGCCUUCGGGUUGUAAAGCUCUUUUGUCAGGGAAGAAACGGUGAGGGCUAAUAUCCUUCACUAAUGACGGUACCUGAAGAAUAAGCACCGGCUAACUACGUGCCAGCAGCCGCGGUAAUACGUAGGGUGCAAGCGUUAAUCGGAAUUACUGGGCGUAAAGCGUGCGCAGGCGGUUUUGAAGUUUGUCGUGAAAUCCCCGGGCUCAACCUGGGAAUGGCGAUGAAGACUGCAAGGCUAGAAUCUGGCAGAGGGGGGUUAGAAUUCCACGUGUAGCAGUGAAAUGCGUAGAGAUGUGGAGGAACACCGAUGGCGAAGGCAGCCCCCUGGGUCAAGAUUGACGCUCAUGCACGAAAGCGUGGGGAGCAAACGAGGAUAGACUACCCUGGUACGUCCACGACCCUAAACGAUGUACUACUAGUUGUUACGGGUUUUAAUUAACGUUGGUAACGCAGCUAACGCGUGAAGUACGACCGCGUGGGGAGGUACGGUCGCGAGAAGUUAAACGUUAAAGUUAGUUAAGUAGUUAGGNGUGNGAGNGCGACGGACGACGACGAGGGAGGAGG
Molecule: ribosomal RNA, 638 nt
Filed under: uncultured bacterium
Lineage: Bacteria
Description: bacterial SSU rRNA
Rfam family: Bacterial small subunit ribosomal RNA (bases 1-550)
Source: RNAcentral